GUCAGCUGAUGGGCUGCCUGCCGAGGAGGCCGCCGCCGUCGCCGCGCGAACAUGGCGGCCGAAAUCCACUCCAGGCCGCAGAGCAGUCGCCCGGUGCUGCUGAGCAAGAUCGAGGGGCACCAGGACGCCGUCACGGCCGCGCUGCUCAUCCCCAAGGAGGACGGCGUGAUCACGGCCAGCGAGGACAGAACCAUCCGGGUAUGGCUGAAAAGAGACAGUGGUCAAUACUGGCCCAGCAUUUACCACACAAUGGCCGCUCCUUGCUCUGCUAUGGCUUACCAUCAUGACAGCAGACGGAUAUUUGUGGGCCAGGAUAAUGGAGCCGUAAUGGAAUUUCACGUUUCUGAAGAUUUUAAUAAAAUGAACUUUAUCAAGACCUACCCAGCUCAUCAGAACCGGGUGUCUGCAAUUAUCUUCAGCUUGGCCACAGAGUGGGUGAUCAGUACCGGCCACGACAAGUGUGUGAGCUGGAUGUGCACGCGGAGUGGGAACAUGCUCGGGAGGCACUUCCUCACGUCCUGGGCUUCGUGUCUGCAGUAUCCUUCAGAGCCACGGACCUCUCCUUCCCCUGGCCUCUGCUUCUCAGUGUUUGGUUCUGAAUCUCAUCCCAAAUUGCUAACUGAGAUCUAAAGACUGAAUGAAACCUAUUUAAGUUUGUGCAAAAGUAAUUGCAUUUUUUUUUUUACCAUGGAAAGUAAUUGCAAAAAUUGCAAUUACUUUUGCACCAACCUAAUACAUAUUUCACUGAAAAUCCGAGAACUUCCGUAAGUUUGCUGUAAAUUGGGUUUAUUAAAAAUAAUGAAAUGAAUUGUUCUGUGCUGGGAGGUGCUAUAGGUUUUUAAUUCAAAAUUGUGGAAAACCCAAGCCC
This 868-nucleotide small RNA is filed under the name Pan troglodytes (chimpanzee). RNAcentral describes it as "retained intron". Lineage: Eukaryota; Metazoa; Chordata; Mammalia; Primates; Hominidae. The record is from RNAcentral.